This 253-nucleotide ribosomal RNA is filed under the name uncultured bacterium. Its description in RNAcentral is "partial 16S ribosomal RNA". It matches the Rfam family "Bacterial small subunit ribosomal RNA", at positions 524 to 776 of the family's 1533-position model. The record is from RNAcentral.
UACGAAGGGGGCGAGCGUUGUUCGGAAUCACUGGGCGUAAAGGGCGCGUAGGCGGCCCUCCUUGUCGCGUGUGAAAGCCCCGGGCUCAACCUGGGAACGGCGCGCGAGACGGGGGGGCUGGAGUUCGGGAGAGGAGCGUGGAAUUCCCAGUGUAGAGGUGAAAUUCGUAGAUAUUGGGAAGAACACCCGUGGCGAAAGCGGCUCUCUGGAACGGUACUGACGCUGAGACGCGAAAGCGUGGGGAGCGAACAGG